CAGCGCGUGAUCGCAUAACUGCGCCGAAUCGAAAUGCACAUGCACAUCGAUGCCGCCGGGUGUGACGAUCAGGCCUUCGGCAUCGCGUACGGUGGUGGCGACGCCGCAAAUCAAUUGCGGGUGCACACCGUCCAUGAUCUGCGGAUUGCCCGCCUUGCCGAUGGCGACGAUCUUGCCCGCCUUGAUGCCGAUGUCGCCUUUGACGAUGCCAAUCACCGGAUCGAUGAUCAGCGCGUUGCAGAUCAGCAUGUCGAGUGCGCCGUCGUCGCUGUCGUGACCCGGCAUCAGGCCCAUGCCGUCGCGCAG
Pseudomonas floridensis is the source of this 306-nucleotide non-coding RNA. The record is from Rfam. NCBI's taxonomy places the organism in Bacteria, Pseudomonadati, Pseudomonadota, Gammaproteobacteria, Pseudomonadales, Pseudomonadaceae.